UACAGAGGGUGCGAGCGUUGUCCGGAAUCACUGGGCGUAAAGGGCGCGUAGGUGGCGCGACAAGUCAGUGGUGAAAGCUCGACGCUCAACGUCGAGUCGGCCACUGAGACUGUUGGGCUUGAGCACUGUAGAGGCUAAUGGAAUUCCGGGUGUAGCGGUGGAAUGCGUAGAGAUCCGGAAGAACACCGGUGGCGAAGGCGGUUAGCUGGGCAGUUGCUGACACUGAGGCGCGACAGCGUGGGGGAGCAAACAGG
RNAcentral lists this ribosomal RNA (254 nucleotides) under uncultured bacterium. RNAcentral's name for it is "partial 16S ribosomal RNA". It matches the Rfam family "Bacterial small subunit ribosomal RNA", at positions 524 to 776 of the family's 1533-position model. The record is from RNAcentral.